Molecule: ribosomal RNA, 431 nt
Filed under: uncultured bacterium
Lineage: Bacteria
Description: partial 16S ribosomal RNA
Rfam family: Bacterial small subunit ribosomal RNA
Source: RNAcentral
AACGAACGCUGGCGGCAGGCCUAACACAUGCAAGUCGAGCGCCCCGCAAGGGGAGCGGCGGACGGGUGAGUAACGCGUGGGAAUAUGCCCUUUGCUACGGAAUAGUCUCGGGAAACUGGGGGUAAUACCGUAUACGCCCUUUGGGGGAAAGAUUUAUCGGCGAAGGGUUAGCCCGCGUUGGAUUAGGUAGUUGGUGGGGUAAUGGCCUACCAAGCCGACGAUCCAUAGCUGGUUUGAGAGGAUGAUCAGCCACACUGGGACUGAGACACGGCCCAGACUCCUACGGGAGGCAGCAGUGGGGAAUCUUAGACAAUGGGGGCAACCCUGAUCUAGCCAUGCCGCGUGAGUGAUGAAGGCCUUAGGGUUGUAAAGCUCUUUCAGCUGGGAAGAUAAUGACGGUACCAGCAGAAGAAGCCCCGGCUAACUCCGUG